UGGCGGACGGGUGAGUAACGCGUGGGUAACCUGCCUUGUACUGGGGGACAACAGUUAGAAAUGACUGCUAAUACCGCAUAAGCGCACAGUAUCGCAUGAUACGGUGUGAAAAACUCCGGUGGUACAAGAUGGACCCGCGUCUGAUUAGCUAGUUGGUAAGGUAACGGCUUACCAGGGCGACGAUCAGUAGCCGACCUGAGAGGGUGACCGGCCACAUUGGGACUGAGACACGGCCCAA
Molecule: ribosomal RNA, 238 nt
Filed under: uncultured bacterium
Lineage: Bacteria
Description: partial 16S ribosomal RNA
Rfam family: Bacterial small subunit ribosomal RNA
Source: RNAcentral